ACGCACGCUGGCGGCGUGCUUCACACCUGCCAGUCGAACGGAAAGGCCCCUUUGGGGGUACUCGAGUGGCGAACGGGUGAGUAACACGUGAGUAACCUGCCCUUGACUUCGGGAUAACUUCAGGAAACUGGGGCUAAUACCGGAUAGGAAUCCUUGCUGCAUGGUGGGGGUUGGAAAGCUUCGGCGGUUUUGGAUGGACUCGCGGCUUAUCAGCUUGUUGGUGGGGUAGUGGCUUACCAAGGCUUUGACGGGUAGCCGGCCUGAGAGGGCGACCGGCCACAUUGGGACUGAGAUACGGCCCAGACUCCUACGGGAGGCAGCAGUGGGGAAUAUUGCACAAUGGGCGGAAGCCUGAUGCAGCAACGCCGCGUGCGGGAUGACGGCCUUCGGGUUGUAAACCGCUUUCAGCAGGGGCGAAGCUUGUGGUGACGGUACCUGCAGAAGAAGCACCGGCUAACUACGUG
This 464-nucleotide ribosomal RNA is filed under the name uncultured bacterium. RNAcentral describes it as "partial 16S ribosomal RNA". It matches the Rfam family "Bacterial small subunit ribosomal RNA", at positions 29 to 507 of the family's 1533-position model. The record is from RNAcentral.